RNAcentral lists this ribosomal RNA (440 nucleotides) under uncultured bacterium. RNAcentral describes it as "partial 16S ribosomal RNA". It matches the Rfam family "Bacterial small subunit ribosomal RNA", at positions 338 to 795 of the family's 1533-position model. The record is from RNAcentral.
CCUACGGGAGGCUGCAGUGGGGAAUAUUGGACAAUGGGGGAAACUCUGAUGCAGCGAAGCAGCGUGGGGGAAGAAGCGCCUAGGGGCGUAAAGCCGUGUCAGCGGGGAAGAAAAUGAAGGUACGUGAGGCAGAAGCCACGGCUAGCUACGAGCAAGCCGCCGCGGUAAUACGUAGGGGGCAGGGUUUAUCCGGAUUUACGGGGUGUAAAGGGGGCGCAGACGGCGCCUCAAGCCAGGAGUGAAAACCCGGGGCCCAACCCCGGGACUGCUCGUGGAACUGCGUGGCUAGAGUGCAGGAGGGGCAGGCGGAAUUCGUGGUGUAGCGGUGAAAUGCGUAGAUAUCAGGAGGAACACCGGUGGCGAAGGCGGCCUGCUGGACUGCAACUGACGUUGAGGCCCGAAAGCGUGGGGAGCAAACAGGAUUAGAUACCCGGGUAGUC